This 513-nucleotide ribosomal RNA is filed under the name uncultured bacterium. RNAcentral's name for it is "partial 16S ribosomal RNA". It matches the Rfam family "Bacterial small subunit ribosomal RNA", at positions 28 to 523 of the family's 1533-position model. The record is from RNAcentral.
GACGAACGCUGGCGGCGUGCCUAAUACAUGCAAGUUGAGCGCUGAAGGUUGGUACUUGUACCGACUGGAUGAGCAGCGAACGGGUGAGUAACGCGUGGGGAAUCUGCCUUUGAGCGGGGGACAACAUUUGGAAACGAAUGCUAAUACCGCAUAAAAACUUUAAACACAAGUUUUAAGUUUGAAAGAUGCAAUUGCAUCAUUCAAAGAAGAUCCCGCGUUGUAUUAGCUAGUUGGUGAGGUAAAGGCUCACCAAGGCGAUGAUACAUAGCCGACCUGAGAGGGUGAUCGGCCACAUUGGGACUGAGACACGGCCCAAACUCCUACGGGAGGCAGCAGUAGGGAAUCUUCGGCAAUGGACGAAAGUCUGACCGAGCAACGCCGCGUGAGUGAAGAAGGUUUUCGGAUCGUAAAACUCUGUUGGUAGAGAAGAACGUUGGUGAGAGUGGAAAGCUCAUCAAGUGACGGUAACUACCCAGAAAGGGACGGCUAACUACGUGCCAGCCGCCGCGGUAA